This 349-nucleotide transfer-messenger RNA is filed under the name bovine gut metagenome. It matches the Rfam family "transfer-messenger RNA". Rfam says of the family: Bacterial tmRNA, also known as 10Sa RNA or SsrA, is named for its dual tRNA and mRNA-like properties. Its role is to liberate the mRNA from a stalled ribosome. The record is from RNAcentral.
GGCCUGCAUUUGGUUUCGACAGGAUGUUUGAAGUAUGAUAAGCAUGUCGUGGUUAUGCACGUUAAAACAUGAGGUUAUAAUAACCGGAAACACAAAUACAAACUACGCUUUUUGUUAAUUAAUAACAAAAAUCAUUCUCUUUCUUUUUAGCCUACGAAAAAGAUAGAGGAUCAGUAAAGUAGGCUAUUGAUGAAUAUACCUGCUUAGUAUAUGAUUCUAAAUUUAAAGCUAUAUAAUUAUUAUUUUUGUUUGUUUAUUAAUAAUUACGAAUAAUCAAAAUAAACUAAACAUGUAGAAAGUUGUAUGGAUGGUGUUUUGGACAGGAGUUCGACUCUCCUCAGGUCCACCA